RNAcentral lists this long non-coding RNA (597 nucleotides) under Physcomitrium patens. RNAcentral's name for it is "long non-coding RNA (PPAT_LNC014831)". Lineage: Eukaryota; Viridiplantae; Streptophyta; Bryopsida; Funariales; Funariaceae. The record is from RNAcentral.
UUAGUUAUUGAGGUUUAAAUCUGUUGUAAGAAUUAUUAGGAUUUGGUUUAGGGUUUGGUUAGGAUUUUAUUUAGAAUUUGGAUUAGGGUUUGGUUUAGGGUUUAGAAUUUGGAUUAGAGUUUGAUUUAGGAUUUAGGUUUUGGUUAGGAUUUGAUUUAGGAUUUAGAAUUUGAUUAGGAUUUGGUUUAGGGUUUAGGAUUUGAUUAAGAUUUGAUUAGGAUUUGGUUUAGGAUUUGGUUGGGAUUUGAUUUAGGAUUUAGGGUUUAGGAUUUUAUUAGGAUUUAAGAUUUAAUUAGUUUUGGCCCAAAGUUUGAAUGAAGUUCAAUAGGAUUUUGACUAGAAUUAAAUAAAGAUUGAAUUGGGAUGUAUUUGAGUGAUAUUUGUGAUCAUAAAAUUACUCUUUAAGAAUUCUUAUUAUUUAUUUGAAAUUUCUCUGAGGUUUCUUUGAAUUUGAUUAAGCUUGCUUACUAUUCUUAUGGUCUAAUUAGAGCAUUGUUAAUAUUCUAUUAGAAUUAGGAUUUUGUUAUUAUAAUUUUCAUUCUUCCUUCUACAACUAGGUGCCUGGAUCAUUCUCAAGCAAGACUUCACGUAUUACAA